GCUUGCUGCGCAGGACCCCUUGAAAAAAAAUGAGGACCCGUCUUUUUUAGGUCACAAGAUUGCGCCAACCCUCACAUGGUCCUUAAAAAAAAAACCCUUCUGACACUGCAGUAGUGAAAAUCAAGCGCACUAUGGGCGGAAACUAGGAAGACACUUAAACAUAAAGAUGAAGUGCCUAAUUCAAGGUCACACAAUGUCGGGGAUGGACCUCCAGAUUUCCUUACUGUUACUUAUCCUGUAUUACAUGAGGGAAAUGAAACAAAAAGACUACAGCCCCACUCCCAGCUACUCCGUGAGGUGGUAGCUAGGUAAGACAUGGUCUUGUACCACAGUGGUUAAGAAUGUGACUUUGGAGCCAGCCUGCUAGGGGAUGAAUUCUGACUCAGCCAUUUACUAACUGGGUGACCUUAGUCUCACUCACUGUUGCCCAGGCUGGAGUGCAGUGGCGUGUUCUCGGCUCACCACAACCUCUGCUUCCCGGGUUCAAGCGAUUCUCCUGCCUCAGCCUUGCAAGUACCUGGGACUACAGGCACGUGCCACCAUUCCAGGCUAACUUUUGUAUUUUUAGUAGAGACUGGGUUUCACUAUGUUGGCCAGGCUGGUCUCGAACUUCUGACCUUGUGAUCUGCCCGCCUCGGCCUCCGAAAGUGCUGGGAUUACAGGCGUGAGCCACCGCGCCCCGCCUUAUGUAUUUUUUUCAGUUGGGUAGCUGUCCCAAAUUCAUUCAUUAAAGAAGGAGAAGUAAGAGCAGGAGCCUUUAAUCUGUUCUCCUCUUCCCUAAUUUGAAAGUGGCUUGUUAUUUUGAAUAUCACAUCCUCAGAAAUAGCAAAUCUCCAUCUCAGAGAAUGGAUUUAAUGUUUGGAUACAGCCAAAGGUCAUUUCAUUACCAAACCAUGGGGUGAAUAUACCAUGUAAAACAGUUUGGGAUCAGAACUCACAGUCUGAAUUGUAAGUUACGAGACUGCUGUCUCUCUGCUGCAGCUUCUUGGCUGGCUUUGAAGGGUCUUCCAAGGCAGAUCCUAACAAGGGGACUGCUUUGAAGGGCCAUUGUUCAUUUGGAAUGAUAAAGUCUAUGUUGUUCAAAAAACAAGUGCUUGUAGCAGGUAUUUUUUCACUCCAACCUGAGAAUAUUGCUAGGGUAUUGAUAAGGGGUACUGAAUGGUAAUAAACGUGUGCUCUAGCUCUGCCCUAAUCUGCUUAUUUCAGAACUCUAGUUUCAUUCAGUUUCUUGCCUCUGACUCAAAAUGGAGGGAGGGUGAUUCUUACAUAACAGAACAUACCUACAUACCCUUUUGGCAACAGCUACCUGCCAGAGAUGUUGAGGAAGAGUAGCCAACCUUUACACAACACAUAUUGUGUGCCAGUCAUGGUCCUAAGUAUAAUACCUUACAUGUAUAAACUUCUUAGGAGGUUGGUGCUCUGUACCGAAUUGAAUAGUAUCCCCCAAAAUUCAUGUUGCCCCAGAACCUAUGAAUGUGAUCUUACUUGGAAAUACGGUUCUUGCACACAUAAUCAGGUUGAGAUGAAGUUUAACUGGGAAGUCCUAGUCUAGUGACUGGUGUUGUCAUAAGAAGAGAGAGACACAGAGGGAAGAUGGCCACAUGAAGAUGGAGGCAGAGAUUGCAGUUAUGCUGCUGCCAGCUAAGGAAUGGCUGCAGCCCUCCAAGGAUUGCCAGCGACCACCAGAAACUAGAAGAGACAAGGAAGGAUUCUUCCCUAGGGACUUCAGAGGGAGCAUGGCCCUACUGACACCUGGAUUUCAGACUUGUAGCUUCCUGAACUGCGAGAGAAUAAAUUUCUGUUGUUU
Macaca fascicularis (crab-eating macaque) is the source of this 1807-nucleotide long non-coding RNA. NCBI's taxonomy places the organism in Eukaryota, Metazoa, Chordata, Mammalia, Primates, Cercopithecidae. The record is from Ensembl.